AAUAGGCUCUGAAAGUCAGCUUCCAACUAAAGGCAAACUCUGAAAGACAGAAAGCCUGUGACAGCAACUCACAAAAUGCACUUGUUCUUCUUAGAAUCCUCACAUGCCACUCCUAUUGCCUUCAGGCUGGCAUUCGACAUCACAUCCCAGACAAGCCCAGUGGUGUCUGCAGAGAACUUGGUCAUCUUGGAAUUUCACAAUAUGGUGCUGGCCCACUAAAUGAUGAAUCAUACUAUUAGGUCUCAGUGAGCAGUAAGUGGUGGUACUCUAGAUGUCCCAGCAAGACACACAUGUCAGAAAAGGGAUCUAACUCUAUGAAGAUUCAGAAGCUUGCACUAUUACUAAUGGAGCCACUACCAUUGCUGAGUGUCCAACUUUCCAGCAGCUGAGACCAAUAAUAAACUUUGUAAGCAUCACCAUUCUUCAAGGAGACCAGCCACUUGGUAGUAAGUUCAAUGUAUUGGACCCCUCUAAUGUAGCACCACCCAA
This 489-nucleotide long non-coding RNA is filed under the name Homo sapiens (human). RNAcentral describes it as "HSALNT0306093". Lineage: Eukaryota; Metazoa; Chordata; Mammalia; Primates; Hominidae. The record is from RNAcentral.